RNAcentral lists this ribosomal RNA (492 nucleotides) under uncultured bacterium. RNAcentral's name for it is "partial 16S ribosomal RNA". It matches the Rfam family "Bacterial small subunit ribosomal RNA", at positions 29 to 507 of the family's 1533-position model. The record is from RNAcentral.
AGUGAACGCUGGCGGUAGACCUAACACAUGCAAGUCGAACGGCAGCACAGUAAGAGCUUGCUCUUACGGGUGGCGAGUGGCGGACGGGUGAGGAAUACAUCGGAAUCUACUUUUUCGUGGGGGAUAACGUAGGGAAACUUACGCUAAUACCGCAUACGACCUACGGGUGAAAGCAGGGGAUCUUCGGACCUUGCGCGAUUGAAUGAGCCGAUGUCGGAUUAGCUAGUUGGCGGGGUAAAGGCCCACCAAGGCGACGAUCCGUAGCUGGUCUGAGAGGAUGAUCGGCCACACUGGAACUGAGACACGGUCCAGACUCCUACGGGAGGCAGCAGUGGGGAAUAUUGGACAAUGGGCGCAAGCCUGAUCCAGCCAUACCACGUGGGUGAAGAAGGCCUUCGGGUUGUAAAGCCCUUUUGUUGGGAAAGAAAAGCAGCAGGUUAAUACCCCGCUGUUCUGACGGUACCCAAAGAAUAAGCACCGGCUAACUUCGUG